This 190-nucleotide microRNA precursor is filed under the name Oryza brachyantha (malo sina). Its description in RNAcentral is "MIR812 microRNA precursor family". It matches the Rfam family "MIR812 microRNA precursor family". Lineage: Eukaryota; Viridiplantae; Streptophyta; Magnoliopsida; Poales; Poaceae. The record is from Rfam by way of RNAcentral.
AAUAAACGAAUUUCUGCGUUUUUUUAGAAUUUUUGACUCUUCGUCUUAUUUGAAAAAAAUUAUGAUUAAAAUUUUUAUUGUUACUACGUGAUAAAACAUAAAUAGUAUUUUAUGUAUGACUAAUUUUUUUAAAUUUUUUAAUAAAAUUUUUAAAUAAGAUGAAUGGUCAAACGCUCAACUAAAAACCCAG